GCUUUAAUAGUUUAGACAAAAUAUCAUAUUGUGGUUAUGAAGAGACAAGUGUUUAAGGCA
This 60-nucleotide transfer RNA is filed under the name Pseudoniphargus sp. 1-Balearics. RNAcentral describes it as "tRNA-His". The record is from RNAcentral. Lineage: Eukaryota; Metazoa; Arthropoda; Malacostraca; Amphipoda; Allocrangonyctidae.